This 253-nucleotide ribosomal RNA is filed under the name uncultured bacterium. RNAcentral's name for it is "partial 16S ribosomal RNA". It matches the Rfam family "Bacterial small subunit ribosomal RNA", at positions 524 to 776 of the family's 1533-position model. The record is from RNAcentral.
UACGGGGGGGGCAAGCGUUGUUCGGAAUUACUGGGCGUAAAGGGCUCGUAGGCGGCCAACUAAGUCGGAUGUGAAAUCCCCAGGCUUAACCUGGGAACUGCAUCCGAUACUGGAUGGCUUGAAUCCGGGAGAGGGAUGUGGAAUUCCAGGUGUAGCGGUGAAAUGCGUAGAUAUCUGGAGGAACACCGGUGGCGAAGGCGGCAUCCUGGACCGGUAUUGACGCUGAUGCGCGAAAGCCAGGGGAGCAAACGGG